Solanum dulcamara is the source of this 103-nucleotide small nuclear RNA. The record is from RefSeq and is a predicted model, not a curated record. Lineage: Eukaryota; Viridiplantae; Streptophyta; Magnoliopsida; Solanales; Solanaceae.
GUCCCUUCGGGGACAUUUGAUAAAAGUGAAACGAUAAAUACAAGAUUAACAUGACUCCUACAAAAGAAUGACAACCAUAAAUCAAGAAAUAGUUCAAUUUUUU